CGAGACUGAGUGGGGCUACGGACAAUCGGAACCAGCACCAGCUGUGGGCUGGCUCGCAGACGAACUGAGGAUCUACCAGCGGCCGUGGGACCUUAGGUGGCGGGUCGUUUUCCACACUUCUUUUGUUGUACAGCACCAGGUGAAUAGACUAUAGUAGGUUUUUUUAUGUGGUUUUCUUUUGGUCCACCGCUGCUGGUAAGUCCCAGUUGUGUGUUUAUUUUUAUUGUAAUUUGGGACACCGUUUUAGACAUUCAGUGCGCUCUCAGUGUUUUGUUUUUAUUUUACAUUAAUAAAUAAAAUUGUGUUAAUAUUUGA
This is a long non-coding RNA of Oreochromis aureus, 315 nucleotides long. RefSeq lists it as uncharacterized. The record is from RefSeq and is a predicted model, not a curated record. The transcript has 2 exons. NCBI's taxonomy places the organism in Eukaryota, Metazoa, Chordata, Actinopteri, Cichliformes, Cichlidae.